Molecule: long non-coding RNA, 516 nt
Organism: Zea mays
Lineage: Eukaryota; Viridiplantae; Streptophyta; Magnoliopsida; Poales; Poaceae
Exons: 2
Source: RefSeq, marked validated
AGAUCAGGGAGUCCAAACGGGUCGCACCCACCUGCCAGGCUGCCACCCGCAAUCCGCAACAGGGACACCGGGCACAGCCCACAAGAUGAGCAGCGGCGGCGACAGCUUCAGGCCCGGUGUUCACUACUAGGCCUGGUACGCCAGUACGGUGUCGUCAUCAAGCUCAACUCCGGCGUCGACUACCGAGCAAACUGAAGAAUACGUCAAUGGUCAGCUGAAGAAAGAAGAAGGUGAUGCCUUCAUAAGAGGAAAUGGUGGUGCGGAUUAUAUGAUGUGAAUAUUCUGAGAUCUAUGUCGGGCAAAUUCUUGUAGCAGUCUUCUGAAUAUGCAGUUCUGUACAUCAGUAUACCCAAGCGUACCCUUGCAGACAAUUAGGAAGAUGGUGAAAGCCAAAACUGCUGCUAUAAAAAAACACAAGCCGAUGGAUUAAAGCCGCAGCGAACAGGCUUUAGCGCCGGUCUGGCAAAACUUGGUCGUUUAUGAGAGACUUUAAUAUAUUGUACUUUUUUGUUAUCA